GAAGUGCGAUGCUUACACAUGCAGUCGAUUCAAGUUACCUUCGGGUAAUGAGGAUGGCGGACGGGUGAGUAACGCGUAAGGAACUUGCCUCUUGGACUGGGACAACUGUCGGAAACGACAGCUAAUACCGGAUAUUAUGAGAUUCUCGCAUGAGAAACUUAUGAAAGCUAUAUGCGCCAAGAGAGAGCCUUGCGUUCCAUUAGCUAGUUGGUGGGGUAACGGCCCACCAAGGCGACGAUGGAUAGCCGGCCUGAGAGGGUGAACGGCCACAAGGGGACUGAGACACGGCCCUUACUCCUACGGGAGGCAGCGGUGGGGAAUAUUGGACAAUGGGCCACAAGCCUGAUCCAGCAAUUCUGUGUGCACGAUGAAGGUCUUCGGAUUGUAAAGUGCUUUCAGUUGGGAAGAAGAAAGUGACGGUACCAACAGAAGAAGCGACGGCUAAAUACGUGCCAGCAGCCGCGGUAAUACGUAUGUCGCAAGCGUUAUCCGGAUUUAUUGGGCGUAAAGCGCGUCUAGGCGGAAAAAUAAGUCUGAUGUUAAAAUGCGGGGCUCAACUCCGUAUUGCGUUGGAAACUGUUUUUCUAGAGUACUGGAGAGGUGGGCGGGACUACAAGUGUAGAGGUGAAAUUCGUAGAUAUUUGUAGGAAUGCCGAUGGAGAAGUCAGCUCACUGGACAGAUACUGACGCUGAAGCGCGAAAGCGUGGGGAGCAAACAGGAUUAGAUACCCUGGUAGUCCACGCCGUAAACGAUGAUCACUAGGUGUUGGGGGGUCGAACCUCAGCGCCCAAGCUAACGCGAUAAGUGAUCCGCCUGGGGGAGUACGCACGCAAGUGUGAAACUCAAAGGAAUUGACGGGGACCCGCACAAGCGGUGGAGCAUGUGGUUUAAUUCGACGCAACGCGAGAAACCUUACCAGCGUUUGACAUCCUAAGAAGUUUCCAGAGAUGGAUUCGUGCCGGCUUGCCGGGACUUAGUGACAGGUGGUUGCAUGGCUGUCUUCAGCUCGUGUCCUGGAGAUGUUGGGGUUAAGUCCCCCCAACGAACGCAACCCCCUAUUGGUAUGUUGGCUACCCUUUAAAUUUGAGGCCCUCUGGGCGAAACGGCCCGGCGAGUAGACAGAGGAGAGAGU
RNAcentral lists this ribosomal RNA (1133 nucleotides) under uncultured bacterium. RNAcentral's name for it is "bacterial SSU rRNA". It matches the Rfam family "Bacterial small subunit ribosomal RNA", at positions 41 to 1176 of the family's 1533-position model. The record is from RNAcentral.